This is a long non-coding RNA of Solanum dulcamara, 544 nucleotides long. RefSeq lists it as uncharacterized. Lineage: Eukaryota; Viridiplantae; Streptophyta; Magnoliopsida; Solanales; Solanaceae. The transcript is spliced from 3 exons. The record is from RefSeq and is a predicted model, not a curated record.
GCCAAAAACACUAAGGAAAAAUAAGAGAGAGUUCGGCCAAGGCAAGGAAAACAUAACUUCUUGAAAUUUCAUCCCAAAAAUUACUUUCUCUUAGUAUUCCUACUAUAUCAAGGGUCCUUUAUAACAUGGUAAACUUAUUUUGGAAGAUAGAAGGCUUGUUUGGUUGAUUUGAAGCUUUGGUAAAGUGAAGAAGUUGGAAGGAAAAGAUUUUGGAGGAAACGGGAAUUGAACUUGGACAACCGUAAAAGGCCAAAAAGUUUCUCACUACUCCACUCGUGGAUGCCUCAAUGCUUCUUUCACUGAGCCUGGGCCAGGAUAUGUUUUCGUGCGUAUUUCUCUGCAUUGUUCGCCGUGUCCCGACGUGAGGGGGCAGGUAUGACAUGUACAUGGGGUGGUAAAUGUUAUGCCACGGAGUUAUGCUGUGCCAUGUACAUAUAUGUUUAUGAUAUGAUAUGAUUUGAUAUGGCCAUCUGAUAUGAUAUGAUUUGUUACGGAGAUAUUCCCUACUCUGGUGUUAUGAUGUGCCGUGGUGCCGAUGAUGGGA